This 301-nucleotide ribosomal RNA is filed under the name uncultured bacterium. Its description in RNAcentral is "partial 16S ribosomal RNA". It matches the Rfam family "Bacterial small subunit ribosomal RNA", at positions 509 to 808 of the family's 1533-position model. The record is from RNAcentral.
CAGUCGCCGCGGUAAUACAGAGGAUGCAAGCGUUAUCCGGAAUGAUUGGGCGUAAAGCGAGCGCAGGCGGUUAGAUAAGUCUGAAGUUAAAGGCUGUGGCUUAACCAUAGUACGCUUUGGAAACUGUUUAACUUGAGUGCAAGAGGGGAGAGUGGAAUUCCAUGUGUAGCGGUGAAAUGCGUAGAUAUAUGGAGGAACACCGGCGGCGAAAGCGGCUCUCUGGCUUGUAACUGACGCUGAGGCUCGAAAGCGUGGGGCGCAAACAGGAUUAGAUACCCCGGUAGUCCCUGUCUCUUAUACC